This is a long non-coding RNA of Herpailurus yagouaroundi (jaguarundi), 1514 nucleotides long. RefSeq lists it as uncharacterized. The record is from RefSeq and is a predicted model, not a curated record. NCBI's taxonomy places the organism in Eukaryota, Metazoa, Chordata, Mammalia, Carnivora, Felidae. The transcript has 6 exons.
GGUAGCACUGGGAAGCUUAUCUAGUUCGAAGCCAUCACCACUGCUAGAACAGCACCACAAAGCCCAGGCUGCCCUGUUGGUAGUUUGAACACCUGAUUCUUUCAAAGCAUGAACCUUCAAGAUAGUUUUUACUCAAUCUCCUUCCUUUUACAGAAAGAGAAGAGUUGAAAUUGCUGGAGUAUCUUUGGAUCACCCCUAUGUUUGAACCUACAAACAUUAGUGCCAAGCUUGAGCAUGUUAAGGGACCAGAGGGAUACGACAGUGCAGAAGGAGAAAAUCCCAUGGUGAAGCCUGCAAGUCUAUGUUUGCUGUGACCAGGAUAUGUGAGUGGAACCUCACUGAAGGGCCCACACUAAGAGUGUUGCAAGCAUGGCAUCUACUUAUGAGGAGGAAUUUAGGAUAAAUGUUUCCCUGCGGUUGUUUUCUCUUCUCACACUGUAGCCACAUUUCCAGUACUAAAAGGAGCUAUACGUUUGGAACCCAAGAUCAGAGCACGAGUUUCAACAGACGUUGUGGCAAAUGUUGCGACAAUAGUACAGACAUUGAAAUCUGUAUUGACCCAGAAAUUGACUGACCUCCUUCUCAACUUCAGCAGGACCAGAGAGAAACCCUCGAACAUCCUCUUUUCUCCUCUAUGCAACGAUGGCCUCUCUCCUCCAAGUACCAUCACCCUCACGAGUCCUCAAACCUGGCCACAUGUUUAGUCACCCAGGGAGCUUUUAACGAAUACAAUUCCCUGGGCUCCAUCCCAGACCUCUGGGACAAAGGCCCAGGCUGGAUAUUUUAAAAGGCUCCAUAAUUAAUUCUAAUGUGUACCUAAAUUUGAAUACCACAGUCCUAGACCAAGCCAGAUGCCAGUAAAUAAGCCUAGAUUCCUCCUUCUUCCCGUCAGGAAGAAUCUAAUUGGUCAACUAAAACACAAAUCUGCCUUCUAAAUUGUUCUCCUCCAACUUCUCUAUGAUUGACUCAGAAUUUUCCUUGCUGUGACCUUGUAGUAGUUUUUCUUUCCUCUCAUAUUCUCUUUUCCCAUUAUGGUGCAUUGUUCUUGCUGCGAUGGGUUGAUCUUUGUAGUUUUGCCAGCCAUCACUUUUCUUAAAAUUCUUCGGUGAUUCAUCAGAACACAGUGAUGCGGACUCUUUAUUUUCUGAUCACUACCUGCUAUCUAGCUUCAUGUUUUGUCACCCUCCUCCCCACCCCCAUACUCUCCAUAAAACCAAAUGACUUUCUUGUGCUCUCAUGUCUUUGCCUCUGACUGUCCAUCUUCCAGUUCUGCUCUUAAGCUGACAACUGCAUUUUGUCAAGCUGAGAUAAAGUCCUCUCUCUCUGCACAUGCUCUCUUUGCCAUCAUACCCUCUGCCUAACUACAUUAUGCCACUGACAUACCAAGUUGACACAAAAGUCCUACACUGACUGGAGCCUGUUGAUCUUGCUCAGACCUAUACUUAAAUGUGUGCCCUGCACAUAGUAAGUGCUUGAUAAGUCAAUGUCAAAUGCAUGAAGAAUCGAAUAAAUGA